This 369-nucleotide ribosomal RNA is filed under the name uncultured organism. RNAcentral's name for it is "bacterial SSU rRNA". It matches the Rfam family "Bacterial small subunit ribosomal RNA", at positions 526 to 896 of the family's 1533-position model. The record is from RNAcentral.
CGUAGGGGGCAAGCGUUAUCCGGAAUUAUUGGGCGUAAAGAGUGCGUAGGUGGUUUUGUAAGCGCGAGGUGAAAGGCUAUGGCUCAACCAUAGUAAGCCUUGCGAACUGUAAGACUUGAGUGCAGGAGAGGAAAGUGGAAUUCCUAGUGUAGCGGUGAAAUGCGUAGAUAUUAGGAGGAACACCAGUGGCGAAGGCGACUUUCUGGACUGUAACUGACACUGAGGCACGAAAGCGUGGGGAGCAAACAGGAUUAGAUACCCUGGUAGUCCACGCCGUAAACGAUGAGCACUAGGUGUCGGGGUCGCAAGACUUCGGUGCCGCAGUUAACGCAUUAAGUGCUCCGCCUGGGGAGUACGCACGCAAGUGUG